RNAcentral lists this long non-coding RNA (362 nucleotides) under Lupinus angustifolius (narrow-leaved blue lupine). Its description in RNAcentral is "long non-coding RNA (LANG_LNC003403)". Lineage: Eukaryota; Viridiplantae; Streptophyta; Magnoliopsida; Fabales; Fabaceae. The record is from RNAcentral.
CCUUAAAUAUUACAUAAAGUAUGAGCAAAAUUCUUUCACAUCUCUAAAGACCAAAUCAUAACAAUCCUCUCAAUAAAAAAAUAUACAACAUUCCAGAUAUUAGUAAAGGAAAAUAAAUUAGACCCUUGUACAAUAACUUAGAAUCAUGUUGCUCUUCUUCAAUGGGCUCUAAUUUUUUGAAAGAAUCUGAGGAUCUUCUACUCUUAGAACGAGAUAUUAGGAGGGUUGGUGCAACUUCGCCCCAAUUGAGGAUGGUCUCCAUUUCUCUCACCAUUUUAUAAUAAAAUCUCAAACAAAUCCUUUGUUCCUUAGAAAAAUAAGAUUACAUUAAACUAUGAAUGACGACGAAGAUAAAAUGCAAU